GAAAUGCGAUAAGUAAUGUGAAUUGCAGAAUUCAGUGAAUCAUCGAAUCUUUGAACGCACCUUGCGCUCCUUGGUAUUCCUUGGAGCAUGCCUGUUUGAGUAUCAUGAAAUCUUCAAAGUAAAUCUUUUGUUAACUCAAUUGGUUUCUACUUUGGUAUUGGAGGUCUUUGCAGCUUCACACCUGCUCCUCUUUGUUCAUUAGCUGGAUCUCAGUGUUAUGCUUGGUUCCACUCGGCGUGAUAAGUUAUCUAUCGCUGAGGACACUGUAAAUGGUGGCCAAGGUAAAUGCAGAUGAACCGCUUCUAAUAGUCCAUGGACUUGGACAAUACUUUUAUGAUCUGAUCUCAAAUCAGGUAGGACUACCCGCUGAACUUAAGC
This 378-nucleotide unclassified non-coding RNA is filed under the name plant metagenome. RNAcentral describes it as "partial contains 5.8S ribosomal RNA, internal transcribed spacer 2, and large subunit ribosomal RNA". The stretch from base 1 to 105 matches the Rfam family "5.8S ribosomal RNA", at positions 50 to 154 of the family's 154-position model. The record is from RNAcentral.